UACGUAGGGCGCAAGCGUUGUCCGGAAUUAUUGGGCGUAAAGAGCUCGUAGGUGGCGUGUCGCGUCUGCCGUGAAAGCCCAUGGCUUAACUGUGGGUCGCGGUGGAUACGGGCAGGCUGGAGGCUGGUAGGGGCAAGCGGAAUUCCUGGUGUAGCGGUGAAAUGCGCAGAUAUCUGGAGGAACACCGGUGGCGAAGGCGGCGUUCUGGGACUGCAACUGACACUGAGGAACGAAAGCCAGGGGAGCAAACGGG
This 253-nucleotide ribosomal RNA is filed under the name uncultured bacterium. RNAcentral's name for it is "partial 16S ribosomal RNA". It matches the Rfam family "Bacterial small subunit ribosomal RNA", at positions 524 to 776 of the family's 1533-position model. The record is from RNAcentral.